Molecule: unclassified non-coding RNA, 2621 nt
Filed under: Hevea brasiliensis (rubber tree)
Lineage: Eukaryota; Viridiplantae; Streptophyta; Magnoliopsida; Malpighiales; Euphorbiaceae
Source: RNAcentral
AAGCAUUCCAUCAUUCCCAAAACGACCUGAAAUCAUAUCCAAGUUUUUUCCCUUUCAAAAAUUUUAUUAAAACAUUAACUAUUAAUCGAUAGGAUACUCAAAUUAGAACCAUGUUGUCAAAGUAGUCAAGACUAGCUAAAGGUUUCUUUUUCAGGUCAUUAAAUUUCGAUUAAAACUCGAACUCAAUAUAUUAUCAUUAGAGACAACUCUAGUACCAAUGAGUUAAAGCUUAUUGAUAACUAAGGGUAUAUUUUUUAAUCAAGCAUAAUUCAAACUUUGUUGUUCCACCUUAGGAAUGAAACUUUUAAUCAGCUUCAUCAGAGUUGGCAUCAAAGAUAGAAAUACAGAAUUCCAGGUGGGUGUGAAUUCACUACGUUCUCCUUCUGCAGCCUCAAUCAGUUUCAUCAGAGUCGUCGUCAAAAAUAUACAAGUAUGGGACUAUUGGUGUGUGUUCACUAUGUUCUACAUCUGCAGCCUCACCAGUCAAUCUAGGAGUGUUCCAACCCAACUACUGCAUGUAUACUUCAUCAUAGGCUUCAAUGUUGAAACCUGAAGCAAGAAACAAUUCCAACUCAUUCACGAAUCGUUCUGUUCUUGCUGCUAGAAAAGGCCUUGCUGCAUCAGAGACUAGAUUCUUGAACUCUCCUUGUUUUGUUUCAGGUGUUCUCAUUGGAUGAGAUUGAUCACCCCUGGCAAAAAGGAAAGCAAGCUUUUGAGAAAGAGAAAUGUAUAAUAAUAGAGAUAUGUAAAAUAAUUAGAGUAAUAAGCCAAACUUUCAUACUCAUCAAAAGAACUUAAAGAAUGAGGAAUCCAAUUGUUACAAUCUAGAGUUCAUUUUCAUCGUUAAGUUGCACAUGAAUAAACAAAAGGUGGGAUAAGUAAAGAAAAUACCUUCUCAAGAAUGAAUCAACCACACCAAGUAUAUGGUGUACAAUAAUUUCAACAUCCUCUUCCUGCAUGCAAGCAUGUCAGAAGAUGAAAGUUUGCCAAUGAUAGCCAACCAGAGCUAAAAGAUAGCUAUAGACAUUAAAUUAACAUCCCAAAUUAUCAACAAACAAAAAAGAAAAAGAAAAAGACCAAGCUAAAUAAAAUAAAAUUAAAUUAAGCUCGUAUUUUCUUUCAGCCUUUUGUUAUCGUCUUCUUUACCUCUCUCUCCCUUUCGGGUGCUAAGAGAAAGAUAUUAAGGUGGCGGUGCUCAGAGAUUUCACAUGUGGUUGAAAGAAAGAAAGAAGAGAGAACACAGCAUGACAAGAAGAAGAAGAAGAAGGAGAAGCUAAAAUGAGGGUGGACAUACAAGGCAAGUUGAAGCUAGCUAUUGGCACAGUGAAAGAUCAUGCAGCUAUUGGCAAAGCCAUGAUCUACAAUCAUGAAGGCAAAUGCUUUUCCGAUAUAGAGAUCGCAGUUGUGCGUGCAACUGCUCAUGAUAAUGUCCCUAUUGACGAUAAACACAUGCAUCAAAUCCUUUUCUUGGUCUCAAAUGCUCCAGGAUCCGUCCCUUUUCUUGCUGAGAGGAUCUCUCGCCGUCUUUCCAAGACAAAAGAUCCUCUCGUAGCCCUUAAGUCUCUCUUGCUUAUUCAUCGAAUCCUCCGCGGAGGCAAUCGUUACUUUGAGCAACAACUUCGUUGCUCACAUAUUUCUGGUCAUCUUCAAAUCAGCACCUGCUGGUUCUUCAGAACGUCCAAUUUCUCUUCUGAUCCUUGUGUUUCUUUCCUUCAUAAGUAUGCUGCUUAUCUUGAAGAAAGAAUAGGUUGGGUCAUUAACCAGGCAGGAAAGCUUGAACCUGUUAAUGUUUUGUCUCAAGGGCUGCAAUUUAAGUCUUAUGAUGAGAAGUGGAUUGAUAUGAUAUUUCGUGAACUUCCAAAGUGUCAAGUCUUUAUAGAUAAGGUCUUGGAUUGUUCUCCAAUUCAUAUUCUACCUUCAGAUAAUCUUGCUCAGGCAGCCAUGAGUAACACCUUGAAAGAGAGCUUCCAAGUUUACAUGACAUAUUGUGAAGGAAUAGCAGCACUUGUUAAUAUGUUCUUUGAUUUCACUAUGCCUGCCAGAGCCUUGGCCUGCCAGAUACUCCAGAGAGCGUCUCAGCAAAGCCAAAAGCUUCAUAAUCUGUAUGAGAAUUGCAAAAGAAUUAUUGAUAAUAAGAACUUGGAGUACCCAAUAGUGCAAAUCAUCUCCAUGGAUCAUGUGAAGACAUUGGAGCAGUGUUCAAAGUAUCAUUCUCCUGUACUGGAAUGCCUUGCAAAUAAGCCAACCAAGUUGAAAGCAAAAGGAGAUCAAAAGGAUCAUGCAACUAAUAAUUUUAGCUUGUCUUCUGCUCUUUUCUCAUGUACCCUGGAGACCAAAAUAAGCAAGGUGUGGGUGGUGUUUGAAGAUGAAGAUCAUCAUGAAAAUUUCCCAUGUCAACAGGCCAAGUAGUAGAAGAAAGGAGAAAUUGCCAAUAAGCUUUCCUUUAUUUUAUUGUUUGGAAUUGGAGUUCUUGCUCAAAUGUAAUAUUGACGUGUUUGUCGAGUGAAAUGAAAAUUUUAUUGUCAAAAAAGAAAAUCGAAGAGCAAAUAGAUUACAAGAUUAUCAUUGUUCCUCUCCUCUUUUUCUCUACUCCUGUAGAUCUCUUCCUUGGCUACUAUUGA